RNAcentral lists this long non-coding RNA (327 nucleotides) under Ricinus communis (castor bean). RNAcentral's name for it is "long non-coding RNA (RCOM_LNC003490)". Lineage: Eukaryota; Viridiplantae; Streptophyta; Magnoliopsida; Malpighiales; Euphorbiaceae. The record is from RNAcentral.
AUUGGCCCGCAAACACCCCAGCCCCCUUCGCCCCGUCCCGGAUGUCGGAAAAUUUCCCGGGACACGGUGGGCCCACCGGGGCCCAUUUUCGGAAAAAUUCAAAAAUGGAGCAUGGGCAUCGCCCUUGCUUUAGGCAUACAUGGGGCUUUAUUUUCUUAUUGUAGGUGAGGCAUCGAGGUGUUGUGUAGCCUAUAAUAGCCCCAGUCGGAACUGACGCGGGCCCGAAUAUGAAUUGACGGAAUUUUAUGCGGCUGUGAUGGCCGUAGAGGGCGAGGCCGAGACAUGGAUGGAAGAUCCAACCAAAGCUGUUGGGGCCCAACCCCAUGC